This 253-nucleotide ribosomal RNA is filed under the name uncultured bacterium. RNAcentral's name for it is "partial 16S ribosomal RNA". It matches the Rfam family "Bacterial small subunit ribosomal RNA", at positions 524 to 776 of the family's 1533-position model. The record is from RNAcentral.
UACGUAGGGGGCGAGCGUUACUCGGAAUUACUGGGCGUAAAGCGUGCGCAGGCGGUUUUGUAAGUCUGUCGUGAAAUCCCCGGGCUUAACCUGGGAAUUGCGAUGGAGACUGCAAGGCUGGAGUGCGGCAGAGGGGGAUGGAAUUCCGCGUGUAGCAGUGAAAUGCGUAGAUAUGCGGAGGAACACCGAUGGCGAAGGCAAUCCCCUGGGCCUGCACUGACGCUCAUGCACGAAAGCGUGGGGAGCAAACAGG